This 1519-nucleotide ribosomal RNA is filed under the name Citrobacter freundii. Its description in RNAcentral is "partial 23S ribosomal RNA". It matches the Rfam family "Bacterial large subunit ribosomal RNA", at positions 1431 to 2925 of the family's 2925-position model. The record is from RNAcentral. Lineage: Bacteria; Pseudomonadati; Pseudomonadota; Gammaproteobacteria; Enterobacterales; Enterobacteriaceae.
UAAUAUUCCUGUACUUGGUGUUACUGCGAAGGGGGGACGGAGAAGGCUAUGUUAGCCGGGCGACGGUUGUCCCGGUUUAAGCAUGUAGGCGGAGGUUCCAGGUAAAUCCGGUACCUUUUUAACGCUGAGGUGUGAUGACGAGGCACUACGGUGCUGAAGUAACAAAUGCCCUGCUUCCAGGAAAAGCCUCUAAGCAUCAGGUAACACGAAAUCGUACCCCAAACCGACACAGGUGGUCAGGUAGAGAAUACCAAGGCGCUUGAGAGAACUCGGGUGAAGGAACUAGGCAAAAUGGUGCCGUAACUUCGGGAGAAGGCACGCUGAUAUGUAGGUGAAGUGAUUUACUCAUGGAGCUGAAAUCAGUCGAAGAUACCAGCUGGCUGCAACUGUUUAUUAAAAACACAGCACUGUGCAAACACGAAAGUGGACGUAUACGGUGUGACGCCUGCCCGGUGCCGGAAGGUUAAUUGAUGGGGUUAUCCGUAAGGAGAAGCUCUUGAUCGAAGCCCCGGUAAACGGCGGCCGUAACUAUAACGGUCCUAAGGUAGCGAAAUUCCUUGUCGGGUAAGUUCCGACCUGCACGAAUGGCGUAAUGAUGGCCAGGCUGUCUCCACCCGAGACUCAGUGAAAUUGAACUCGCUGUGAAGAUGCAGUGUACCCGCGGCAAGACGGAAAGACCCCGUGAACCUUUACUAUAGCUUGACACUGAACACUGGUCCUUGAUGUGUAGGAUAGGUGGGAGGCUUUGAAGUGUGGACGCCAGUCUGCAUGGAGCCAUCCUUGAAAUACCACCCUUUAAUGGCUGGUGUUCUAACGUGGACCCGUAAUCCGGGUUGCGGACAGUGUCUGGUGGGUAGUUUGACUGGGGCGGUCUCCUCCUAAAGAGUAACGGAGGAGCACGAAGGUUAGCUAAUCCUGGUCGGACAUCAGGAGGUUAGUGCAAAGGCAUAAGCUAGCUUGACUGCGAGAGUGACGGCUCGAGCAGGUGCGAAAGCAGGUCUUAGUGAUCCGGUGGUUCUGAAUGGAAGGGCCAUCGCUCAACGGAUAAAAGGUACUCCGGGGAUAACAGGCUGAUACCGCCCAAGAGUUCAUAUCGACGGCGGUGUUUGGCACCUCGAUGUCGGCUCAUCACAUCCUGGGGCUGAAGUAGGUCCCAAGGGUAUGGCUGUUCGCCAUUUAAAGUGGUACGCGAGCUGGGUUUAGAACGUCGUGAGACAGUUCGGUCCCUAUCUGCCGUGGGCGCUGGAGAAUUGAGGGGGGCUGCUCCUAGUACGAGAGGACCGGAGUGGACGCAUCACUGGUGUUCGGGUUGUCAUGCCAAUGGCAUUGCCCGGUAGCUAAAUGCGGAAGAGAUAAGUGCUGAAAGCAUCUAAGCACGAAACUUGCCCCGAGAUGAGUUCUCCCUGAGACUUUAAGUCUCCUGAAGGAACGUUGAAGACGACGACGUUGAUAGGUCGGGUGUGUAAGCGUAGCGAUACGUUGAGCUAACCGAUACUAAUGAACCGUGAGGCUUAACCUU